GCUUUGACGAUGUUGCACUACUGUACCAUCGCUGAAGCAGUGCAAUAGUAUUGUCAUAGC
This is a microRNA precursor of Oreochromis aureus, 60 nucleotides long. The record is from Ensembl. Lineage: Eukaryota; Metazoa; Chordata; Actinopteri; Cichliformes; Cichlidae.